Molecule: transfer RNA, 65 nt
Filed under: Danio dangila (olive danio)
Lineage: Eukaryota; Metazoa; Chordata; Actinopteri; Cypriniformes; Danionidae
Description: tRNA-Cys
Rfam family: tRNA
About the family: Transfer RNA (tRNA) molecules are approximately 80 nucleotides in length. Their secondary structure includes four short double-helical elements and three loops (D, anti-codon, and T loops).
Source: RNAcentral
GGCCUUGUGGUGUAAACAUAUUAGAUUGCAAAUCUGAAGACGCAGGCGACCUCCUGCCGGGGCUU